UAGGAAGUAGUGUAAUGGAAGCGCUAGGAGUUUUGAUCUCCUGAGUAUGGGUUCGAGUCCCUUCUUUCUAA
This 71-nucleotide transfer RNA is filed under the name Myrichthys maculosus (tiger snake eel). RNAcentral's name for it is "tRNA-Gln". It matches the Rfam family "tRNA". From Rfam's summary of the family: Transfer RNA (tRNA) molecules are approximately 80 nucleotides in length. Their secondary structure includes four short double-helical elements and three loops (D, anti-codon, and T loops). The record is from RNAcentral. Lineage: Eukaryota; Metazoa; Chordata; Actinopteri; Anguilliformes; Ophichthidae.